AGUGAACGCUGGCGGUAGGCCUAACACAUGCAAGUCGAACGGCAGCACAGUAAGAGCUUGCUCUUACGGGUGGCGAGUGGCGGACGGGUGAGGAAUACAUCGGAAUCUACUUUUUCGUGGGGGAUAACGUAGGGAAACUUACGCUAAUACCGCAUACGACCUACGGGUGAAAGCAGGGGAUCUUCGGACCUUGCGCGAUUGAAUGAGCCGAUGUCGGAUCAGCUAGUUGGCGGGGUAAAGGCCCACCAAGGCGACGAUCCGUAGCUGGUCUGAGAGGAUGAUCAGCCACACUGGAACUGAGACACGGUCCAGACUCCUACGGGAGGCAGCAGUGGGGAAUAUUGGACAAUGGGCGCAAGCCUGAUCCAGCCAUACCGCGUGUGUGACGAAGGCCUUCGGGUUGUAAAGCCCUUUUGUUGGGAAAGAAAAGCAGCAGGUUAAUACCCCGCUGUUCUGACGGUACCCAAAGAAUAAGCACCGGCUAACUUCGUG
Molecule: ribosomal RNA, 492 nt
Filed under: uncultured bacterium
Lineage: Bacteria
Description: partial 16S ribosomal RNA
Rfam family: Bacterial small subunit ribosomal RNA
Source: RNAcentral